RNAcentral lists this ribosomal RNA (93 nucleotides) under Listeria monocytogenes. Its description in RNAcentral is "partial 23S ribosomal RNA". It matches the Rfam family "Bacterial large subunit ribosomal RNA", at positions 1 to 85 of the family's 2925-position model. The record is from RNAcentral. Lineage: Bacteria; Bacillati; Bacillota; Bacilli; Caryophanales; Listeriaceae.
AGUAAAUUGGUUAAGUUAGAAAGGGCGCACGGUGGAUGCCUUGGCACUAGGAGCCGAAGAAGGACGGGACUAACACCGAUAUGCUUUGGGGAG